Molecule: ribosomal RNA, 2970 nt
Filed under: Triticum aestivum (bread wheat)
Lineage: Eukaryota; Viridiplantae; Streptophyta; Magnoliopsida; Poales; Poaceae
Description: partial small subunit ribosomal RNA
Source: RNAcentral
AUGACGAAGACGGCAGGGGUUUUGGGCCGGGAUGGUGCUAUAUUUGUCUUGGUCGAUGGCGACCCUUCUUCUACGAAUUUGCCUCGGAUUCCCCAUUUCCUUCCUAUUUCGAUUUCCUCUGGCGCUAGUACAUGUGGAGUUGCUGAACAGAGUUUCAGUUCAGAUUUGUUCGUUGAUUGUUGCGUCCGCUUGUUGGAGAUUUCGUGGAACGCUCUGUGUUUGAGGGGUGCAGCUACAUGCGUCGCUUCAAGAAAGAGCUCCAUGAUUCCCCAAUUCCUUCUAGAAGAAAACCUGGAGCCCAUUAUGUGCACACAGCCUCGGAGGUUUGCGGUGGUAGCCAUUGCUCAAAGGGUGGCUCAUUCUCGCAAGUCGAUGCUAGGACAAGAAGUUGGAUAUCAUAUAGGCCACCCAAAUAUGAAGAAUCUCACCUCAACAAGGUCAAAAAUUGUUUUCAAAACAGCUGGUGUUAUGCUAGAGCAAAUUCGUCAACACGGCAUUGCUGCAUUGCAAUAUAAGGUUAUUAUUCUUGAUGAAAUUCAUGAACGGUCUGUGGAAUCUGAUCUUGUCCUUGCUAUUAUCAAGCAGUUUAUGAUGGAAAAGAGUGACUUCAAGCUGGUUUUGAUGUCUGCCACUGUUGAUAGCACACGAUAUGUUGAUUACUUUAAAGAUAUUGGAAAGGUUGAACUGAUUACCAUCCCGAGCAUCCCAUGCACUAACACGUUCCAGAGAGAAGUCCAUUAUCUUGAGCAGAUUGAUAACAUGCUGAAGAUGGAUUCUGAAUCACUGUCGACAAAGUAUUGUGUUGGAGAACAUUUUAAAACAGAUGCUGUUCUUAGUCCUGACGUGUAUCAUCUUAUCCACACGUUAUUGUUGCACAUACACCAAAGUGAACCAGAUACUGAAAGGAGUAUUUUGGUUUUUGUUCCUACAUACCAUGCAUUGGAGGAGCAGUGGGCUCGGUUGUCUGGUUGUUCAACUUUGAAAGUACAUAUUCUUCAUCGCAGCAUUGACACAGAUGAAGCUUUGGAAACUAUGAAGGCCUCAGAGUCUUGCCGAAAGGUUAUACUGGCGACAAACAUGGCCGAAUCGUCUGUCACUAUUCCAGGAGUUGCUUAUGUUAUUGAUUCCUGUAGAUCAUUGCAAGUCUAUUGGGACCGAACCAGGAAAACCGACUCAACUAAGCUUGUAUGGAUUUCCAAGUCUCAGGCUGAGCAGCGGAAAGGAAGGACAGGCCGAACCUGUGAUGGCCAGAUUUUUCGCUUGGUAACAGAGCCAUUUUACAACGCUUUUCCUGAUCAUGAAAGCCCUGCCAUUUCAAUGUUAUCCUUGAGAGACCAAGCACUCAUGAUAUGUUGUGCAGAGUCCAUAGCUAUGCAUGACGACCCCACUGUGCUGCUGCAAAAAAUUCUCAAUCCACCGGAAUCCAGUGUUAUUAAAGAUGCUCUAGAUACUCUUGUUCAAAUUGAUGCAUUUCAGCCAGCAUUCCCUGGAGGGUAUCAUCCCAGAUUUUAUGGCUAUUUGCUCGAUAGUUUGCCGUUAUCAUUUCAUGCUUCUGUUCUUACCCUGAAAUUUGGUGAGAUGGGGUAUCUCCAUGAAGGAAUCCUGAUAGGCAUUAUGUUGGACAUUCAACCACUUCCUAUACUGCAACCUUUUGGUGAUCAAGCAUUGCGCAAGAAGAUUAGAGAUGAUUAUUUUGAUGAACGUACCUUCCAACAAAUUGGCAAGAAGGAAGCUACAGUCAUCGCAAAUCUCCGGGCAUAUCAGUUUUGGCAGCGUAUGUUUAAGGAUAAGUUUCGUCUGGAGUACCUGACAAAUGUUUCCAAGAACCAAGAAUCAAAUGCAUAUGAGAUCUUGAAAGUUGAACAAGAAUGGUGUAGAUUACACAAUCUCGUGCUGAAAGCACUUAACAACAUCUCCAAAAUUUAUGAUGAUAUUAUGAGCACACUGCACCGGUUUAGGCCUCAAUUUCUUCUGGAAAUCAAUCCUCCAAAGUACCUUCAGACCUCUGAAUUCCACCAUGAAUGUCGUGAUCCUGAAUUGCCGGAGCCAGAGCAUAUGACUUCACUCCCGUUGGAAACUGACAGUUCUCACUUAGAUUCACAGAGGUGUGCUGCAAUCCCUUAUAUUUCUGCAACUGAUUUUGGAGCCACUGACAUUGUUAAUACCCUAAUGAAGGUUAUUGAAAAGAUGAAGAUAGAACUUGCAGUGACGUGUGUGGACUACCAUGAUGGAUCUAGUGAAACAUACAGAGGACCUCUUAACAAUUUAUCCAAUGCCUCAAAACGAGCAUGCAAGUUCUUCCUCACAUUAAAGGGUUGUAGAAAUGGCGACUCUUGUUCAUUUGCACACAAUCUUGGCUCUUUGAGCUCUUCAUCUGUUACUUCUAAAAUGAAUCCAGAAGAUCCACCAUGGCCGCAGGCUGACAUAGGUUGGAGGAAGUUAGUGACUGGAGGUGAAAAUAGUCACAUUCUUGUCGUGAAUGACAAAAAUCUGAAGUUUUCCUCUCAACUUCAUAACAUGGUUGACAUUACACCUGAUCUGCAUUUGGCUGAGCGUAAUUUAGUUGCAAACAAUCUGAGAAAAGUCCAGAAUGUCGCUGAUCCUUCUCAUCUAACUAUUGGAGAUGAACAUGAACUACCAGUUCCUUGGACGAGACUAAAGCGAAUUAUUUUGGUAGAUGAUUAUGAUUCUGGUUCAACACUCAACCACAAGUCUUGCAGAAGUUCUUUGAGAAUAUUGCCAUCAAGAUAUUGUCGGGACCAUUAUCUAGUGGAAAAAUUGGCAAGGGAGUGUUUCUUCGUUCUUGGUGAAUCAUUCCUGUUAAAUGUAGCGCCUCUUAAGUGGUUUCCGAUCAUGGGCAUCCGUCAACUUGAUGGGCAGGUAGCAGGACAAGUUGCUUACGUUUUCAACAUGCAUCCUCCUUCGGGGGCGGGCAUUCGGCGGGGCGAUUUUGCAACACAAGAGAACUGA